UACGUAGGGUGCAAGCGUUGUCCGGAAUUAUUGGGCGUAAAGAGCUUGUAGGCGGUUUGUCGCGUCUGCUGUGAAAUUUCGGGGCUCAACCCCGAACUUGCAGUGGGUACGGGCAGACUAGAGUGUGGUAGGGGAGACUGGAAUUCCUGGUGUAGCGGUGAAAUGCGCAGAUAUCAGGAGGAACACCGAUGGCGAAGGCAGGUCUCUGGGCCACUACUGACGCUGAGAAGCGAAAGCUUGGGGAGCGAACAGG
RNAcentral lists this ribosomal RNA (253 nucleotides) under uncultured bacterium. RNAcentral describes it as "partial 16S ribosomal RNA". It matches the Rfam family "Bacterial small subunit ribosomal RNA", at positions 524 to 776 of the family's 1533-position model. The record is from RNAcentral.